RNAcentral lists this ribosomal RNA (1400 nucleotides) under Staphylococcus aureus. RNAcentral describes it as "16S ribosomal RNA". It matches the Rfam family "Bacterial small subunit ribosomal RNA". The record is from RNAcentral. Lineage: Bacteria; Bacillati; Bacillota; Bacilli; Caryophanales; Staphylococcaceae.
AUACAUGCAGUCGAGCGAACGGACGAGAAGCUUGCUUCUCUGAUGUUAGCGGCGGACGGGUGAGUAACACGUGGAUAACCUACCUAUAAGACUGGGAUAACUUCGGGAAACCGGAGCUAAUACCGGAUAAUAUUUUGAACCGCAUGGUUCAAAAGUGAAAGACGGUCUUGCUGUCACUUAUAGAUGGAUCCGCGCUGCAUUAGCUAGUUGGUAAGGUAACGGCUUACCAAGGCAACGAUGCAUAGCCGACCUGAGAGGGUGAUCGGCCACACUGGAACUGAGACACGGUCCAGACUCCUACGGGAGGCAGCAGUAGGGAAUCUUCCGCAAUGGGCGAAAGCCUGACGGAGCAACGCCGCGUGAGUGAUGAAGGUCUUCGGAUCGUAAAACUCUGUUAUUAGGGAAGAACAUAUGUGUAAGUAACUGUGCACAUCUUGACGGUACCUAAUCAGAAAGCCACGGCUAACUACGUGCCAGCAGCCGCGGUAAUACGUAGGUGGCAAGCGUUAUCCGGAAUUAUUGGGCGUAAAGCGCGCGUAGGCGGUUUUUUAAGUCUGAUGUGAAAGCCCACGGCUCAACCGUGGAGGGUCAUUGGAAACUGGAAAACUUGAGUGCAGAAGAGGAAAGUGGAAUUCCAUGUGUAGCGGUGAAAUGCGCAGAGAUAUGGAGGAACACCAGUGGCGAAGGCGACUUUCUGGUCUGUAACUGACGCUGAUGUGCGAAAGCGUGGGGAUCAAACAGGAUUAGAUACCCUGGUAGUCCACGCCGUAAACGAUGAGUGCUAAGUGUUAGGGGGUUUCCGCCCCUUAGUGCUGCAGCUAACGCAUUAAGCACUCCGCCUGGGGAGUACGACCGCAAGGUUGAAACUCAAAGGAAUUGACGGGGACCCGCACAAGCGGUGGAGCAUGUGGUUUAAUUCGAAGCAACGCGAAGAACCUUACCAAAUCUUGACAUCCUUUGACAACUCUAGAGAUAGAGCUUUCCCCUUCGGGGGACAAAGUGACAGGUGGUGCAUGGUUGUCGUCAGCUCGUGUCGUGAGAUGUUGGGUUAAGUCCCGCAACGAGCGCAACCCUUAAGCUUAGUUGCCAUCAUUAAGUUGGGCACUCUAAGUUGACUGCCGGUGACAAACCGGAGGAAGGUGGGGAUGACGUCAAAUCAUCAUGCCCCUUAUGAUUUGGGCUACACACGUGCUACAAUGGACAAUACAAAGGGCAGCGAAACCGCGAGGUCAAGCAAAUCCCAUAAAGUUGUUCUCAGUUCGGAUUGUAGUCUGCAACUCGACUACAUGAAGCUGGAAUCGCUAGUAAUCGUAGAUCAGCAUGCUACGGUGAAUACGUUCCCGGGUCUUGUACACACCGCCCGUCACACCACGAGAGUUUGUAACACCCGAAGCCGGUGG